GGCCAAGUUUUUAAGGGCGCACGGUGGAUGCCUUGGCACCAGGAACCGAUGAAGGACGUGGGAGGCCACGAUAGGCCCCGGGGAGUCGUCAACCAGGCUUUGAUCCGGGGGUGUCCGAAUGGGGAAACCCGGCAGUCGUCAUGGGCUGUCACCCGCUGCUGAACACAUAGGCAGUGUGGAGGGAACGCGGGGAAGUGAAACAUCUCAGUACCCGCAGGAAGAGAAAACAACCGUGAUUCCGGGAGUAGUGGCGAGCGAAACUGGAUGAGGCCAAACCGUAUACGUGUGAGACCCGGCAGGGGUUGCGUGUGCGGGGUUGUGGGAUCUCUCUUCCACGGUCUGCCGGCCGUGGGGCGAGUCAGAAACCGUUGAUGUAGACGAAGGACAUGCGAAAGGUCCGGCGUAGAGGGUAAGACCCCCGUAGUCGAAACGUCAGCGGCUUGCUUGAGAGACACCCAAGUAGCACGGGGCCCGAGAAAUCCCGUGUGAAUCUGGCGGGACCACCCGCUAAGCCUAAAUAUUCCCUGGUGACCGAUAGCGGAUAGUACCGUGAGGGAAUGGUGAAAAGUACCGCGGGAGCGGAGUGAAAUAGUACCUGAAACCGUGUGCCUACAAGCCGUGGGAGCGUCGGACAUCAGCUUGCUGGUGUCUCGUGACUGCGUGCCUUUUGAAGAAUGAGCCUGCGAGUUUGCGGUGUGUUGCGAGGUUAACCCGGGUGGGGUAGCCGUAGCGAAAGCGAGUCCGAACAGGGCGAUUUUAGUAGCACGCUCAAGACCCGAAGCGGAGUGAUCUAGCCAUGGGCAGGUUGAAGCGGAGGUAAGACUUCGUGGAGGACCGAACCCACCAGGGUUGAAAACCUGGGGGAUGACCUGUGGUUAGGGGUGAAAGGCCAAUCAAACUCCGUGAUAGCUGGUUCUCCCCGAAAUGCAUUUAGGUGCAGCGUCGUGUGUUUCUUGCCGGAGGUAGAGCACUGGAUAGGCGAUGGGCCCUACCGGGUUACUGACCUUAGCCAAACUCCGAAUGCCGGUAAGUGAGAGCGCGGCAGUGAGACUGUGGGGGAUAAGCUCCAUGGUCGAGAGGGAAACAGCCCAGAGCAUCGACUAAGGCCCCUAAGCGUACGCUAAGUGGGAAAGGAUGUGGAGUCGCACAGACAACCAGGAGGUUGGCUUAGAAGCAGCCACCCUUGAAAGAGUGCGUAAUAGCUCACUGGUCUAGUGAUUCCGCGCCGACAAUGUAGCGGGGCUCAAGCGUACCGCCGAAGUCGUGUCAUUGCAGCAAUACGGCCAACGCCGGCUGUGAUGGGUAGGGGAGCGUCGUGUGCCGGGUGAAGCAGCCGCGUAAGCGAGUUGUGGACGGUUCACGAGUGAGAAUGCAGGCAUGAGUAGCGAUACAAACGUGAGAAACGUUUGCGCCGAUUGACUAAGGGUUCCUGGGUCAAGCUGAUCUGCCCAGGGUAAGUCGGGACCUAAGGCGAGGCCGACAGGCGUAGUCGAUGGAUAACCGGUUGAUAUUCCGGUACCCGCUGUGAAGCGUCAAACAUCGAAUCCAGUGAUGCUAAGGCCGUGAAGCCGCCCCUGAUCUCUUCGGAGUGAGGGGGAGUGGUGGAGCCGCUGAACCAAGUUGGUAGUAGGUGAGUGAUGGGGUGACGCAGGAAGGUAGUCCAUCCCGGGCGGUGGUUGUCCCGGGGUAAGGGUGUAGGCCGUGCGGUAGGUAAAUCCGUCGCACACAAGGCUGAGACCUGAUGCCGAGCCGAUUGUGGUGAAGUGGAUGAUCCUAUGCUGUCGAGAAAAGCCUCUAGCGAGUUUCAUGGCGGCCCGUACCCUAAACCGACUCAGGUGGUCAGGUAGAGAAUACCGAGGCGUUCGGGUGAACUAUGGUUAAGGAACUCGGCAAAAUGCCCCCGUAACUUCGGGAGAAGGGGGGCCAUUCUUGGUGAUCGGAUUUACUCCGUGAGCUGGGGGUGGCCGCAGAGACCAGCGAGAAGCGACUGUUUACUAAAAACACAGGUCCGUGCGAAGCCGUAAGGCGAUGUAUACGGACUGACGCCUGCCCGGUGCUGGAACGUUAAGGGGACCGGUUAGCUUGGAUUCGUCCAGGCGAAGCUGAGAACUUAAGCGCCAGUAAACGGCGGUGGUAACUAUAACCAUCCUAAGGUAGCGAAAUUCCUUGUCGGGUAAGUUCCGACCUGCACGAAUGGCGUAACGACUUCUCGACUGUCUCAACCAUAGGCCCGGUGAAAUUGCACUACGAGUAAAGAUGCUCGUUUCGCGCAGCAGGACGGAAAGACCCCGGGACCUUUACUACAGUUUGAUAUUGGUGUUCGGUUCGGCUUGUGUAGGAUAGCUGGGAGACUUUGAAGCUCGCACGCCAGUGUGGGUGGAGUCGUCGUUGAAAUACCAGUCUGGUCGUGCUGGAUGUCUAACCUGGGUCCGUGAUCCGGAUCAGGGACAGUGUCUGAUGGGUAGUUUAACUGGGGCGGUUGCCUCCUAAAGGGUAACGGAGGCGCCCAAAGGUUCCCUCAGCCUGGUUGGCAAUCAGGUGUUGAGUGUAAGUGCACAAGGGAGCUUGACUGUGAGACCGACGGGUCGAGCAGGGACGAAAGUCGGGACUAGUGAUCCGGCGGUGGCUUGUGGAAGCGCCGUCGCUCAACGGAUAAAAGGUACCCCGGGGAUAACAGGCUGAUCUUCCCCAAGAGUCCAUAUCGACGGGAUGGUUUGGCACCUCGAUGUCGGCUCGUCGCAUCCUGGGGCUGGAGUCGGUCCCAAGGGUUGGGCUGUUCGCCCAUUAAAGCGGUACGCGAGCUGGGUUUAGAACGUCGUGAGACAGUUCGGUCCCUAUCCGCUGUGCGCGUAGGAGUCUUGAGAAGGGCUGUCCCUAGUACGAGAGGACCGGGACGGACGAACCUCUGGUGUGCCAGUUGUUCUGCCAAGGGCAUGGCUGGUUGGCUACGUUCGGGAGGGAUAACCGCUGAAAGCAUCUAAGCGGGAAGCCUGCUUCGAGAUGAGGACUCCCACCUCCUAGAGAGGGUAAGGCUCCCAGUAGACGACUGGGUUGAUAGGCCAGAUAUGGAAGCCGGGUAACCGGUGGAGUUGACUGGUACUAAUAGGCCGAGGGCUUGUCCUC
Molecule: ribosomal RNA, 3123 nt
Filed under: Streptomyces rochei
Lineage: Bacteria; Bacillati; Actinomycetota; Actinomycetes; Kitasatosporales; Streptomycetaceae
Description: 23S ribosomal RNA
Rfam family: Bacterial large subunit ribosomal RNA
Source: RNAcentral